Molecule: long non-coding RNA, 4497 nt
Organism: Haemorhous mexicanus (house finch)
Lineage: Eukaryota; Metazoa; Chordata; Aves; Passeriformes; Fringillidae
Exons: 3
Source: RefSeq, a predicted model, not a curated record
CUACUUUAGAAAAGUACACACAAGGAAUAUCUAAAUAUUUAUGUUCUGUGUUUACCUGAAGUGCCAUUAAAUCCCUUUAUUGCUGUGCCUUUACUGCCAUCCCAGAACUCUCAGCUGGUUUCCAGUUGUAGUGGAGGCAGAGAUUUCUGCCCUUAGGUCAGGUGGGUGUGUUGCUUUUCCUUCCCUCUCUGUCCUCCAGCACAGCCUCCUCCUGGCAGUUCUGCUCAGCCUCAUGUUAUGCUGCUCAGCCCACGCUGCCUUGGCCAACCACAAACCCUUUGGCUGAUCUCCUGUGCUGAUGUGGCUUUACAGGAAGCUGCCAUGAAUUCCAGCAGCCUCCCUGGCUUCCUGGGGAACAUCACAGGUGUAUUUCAGUCCUCCCAUGGAAUGGAGACAGGACAAAGGCAGCUCCUCUCAAGUGCUGAGCCUCCUCUUUGUCUUCAUUUUCCACACAGGUGUGGUUUGAUGAUGCUUCUGGAGUCAGACUGGCAUUGUGACAAAACACCCAAGAGGAAAUCCAGCCCCUAUUUCUGCCAUCAAUUCAUGUCGUAGAUUUCAGUGUCAUUGUCACAUUUCUGUGGCUAAGAGGAGAAGAGAAAGGAGCCAGUGGACAUCCCUCCCUGCAAGAGCAUGGAAGGUAUUUGUCAUUCACACAGCCUUAGAAAUCCCAUGGCUGAUGUGUUGCUGCUUCAAAAUCUACAUUCACAAAAUGCAAGUUUGGAGAAAUGCCAGUUCCACCAUCAUGUUACAGCCUGGACUUGCCAGAGCUGGGAAUGGCAGAUUUGGUGUCAUCAGCAGUGCUUCAGCACAUCCACAGCUGGGAGGAAAUGUUUGGAUGUAUUUGUGUCAGAAGAGAAAAGCAGCAAUUACUGACAGAUAGUCUGAGGCACAUCCAAGUGCAUCAUCACAUGAAGCAGCCUGUCUCCUCUCAAAUGGAAAAGAAAAAAAACAAAACAAACCAAAAACCCCAAAACAACCAUAUUUGAAAGAGCUAGGGAUUAUUCAAGUGCUGUGUAAGUGUAAUGCACAGUGACCAAGUGCCCAAGUGAAGGAAUCUGCUGGAAAGGAAAUGAACAAUUGGUGAUUCCCAAGUUUCCUAUGAGAGAUCUGGGCUGUAAAAGCAUGUUGUGAUUGUGCUUUCUCCCAUGUAUACACUGAGAAUGAAGAGGUCAUGAUAGCAAACUAAGAGUGGGACUGUUAGUCUGGAGUCUAGAUUAGGAUAUGCCCCUUAAUGCAAAUAUUUUCUGGUCAGAAAUAGGAUAUGCAUUAAUCCAAGGGCAAGAGCUGUGACUGACUUGACAAUGAGACUUAUGCCUCUGUGAAAUCAUAUAUAUAUAAGUCAGUAAUUAUAUAUACUGAUGGAAGAAACACUUCCUAUUGUAAAUGAGAGAAUGAAUUUGAGGAACUACCAAACAUUCUUGUUAAGAGAGAAAAAAAAAUUACUUUCAGGUAACUUGUUUGGAAAAUGUUUGCUAUGGAUAAAUCUGUUGGUAAAAGCAUAGCUGACAUUUCAGAGCUCAAACCAAGCAAACACAAAGCAACACAGAGGCAAUAGAUUUUGAGCAGAGCAGCAUCAUGGCAAAGAGCUGACUUCUCUAGUAACACCCUGUGAAUCACUGUGAGGGGAAGGACAGGCAAAAGAGAACAGGAGGCCAGCUGAAACCAUCCCAGGAAAUCUCUGUGCAGUACAAACUGAAUCAAAUCAAAAGCCUGAGUGGAUUUGUGCAGACCUUCCAGAAGUGUGUUAGCACUCCAGAAGGGAAGUGGUAGAUUUCACAUGGCUUUUGAUAUCUGCCAGGAGAUACCAAUAAAGGCACUGCAAGAAGCAAAGGAAAACUCCUGAUCUGCAAGACACAUGGUCUGAGAACAGAGACCUUUGUUGUAUAGCCCUAUUUACAAUCCAGGAUUCAUCAAAUCAUCACUUGAGAAUGGAGAAGAUUCUAGUGAGAAGCUGCAUGGCAAAGAUCACUGUCCCAGACAUAGAACCUCACCAGAAACCACUGAAACUGAGCUCCUGAAAUCAGCACAGGAGACACACACAGAUGUGCUGCUUCACACAUUCUCCAGGAUGAGGGACCAAAUCAAGCCUCACUAAAGACACAGAAGCCUUGGAUUCAGCAGUGCUGUGCUGCACUGGAAUAUUGGGAAACUGCUGCUGCUUUCUUCUUGUUUUUCUGAAACACAACCUUGGGCAAGACUCCCUGACAGCAAUGAUUAUAAUAACAACAGUAAUACAAGUACCCUGAUGAGUGGUUUUUGGGAUGAGACACAGCUUGUAGGUGGUUUAGGUGUUUCUGCAGUCAGCAGAGCCUUGGGAGCCCUGCUACUGACAGACUUCUUGCAGAUUUGGAUAUCAGGGCAGUUCCCACUAGGAACUGUGGCAUUCCCACAUCUCAGUGCAAUGACUCUUGCCUGUACCAAACUGGGUGCAGGGAGAGCCAGGAGACAGGGAUAAACUCCAGACACCUUUUGCCCCACAGCAGCCACCAGUGUGCCUGGAAUGGGUGCUUGCAAGUGAGAAUCUGGAGACAGCUGUGUAGUGUGUGCACUGGUUAUUUUCAAAUAAAGUUUGGAGGAGAAGAAAAUCAACAAUAUUGCUGGAAUUAUGCAUCUUGUAUCAUAGUAGUGUCUUGCAGUGUACAUUAUGGGCAUUCAUCAAGAAAGAGUAAUAUUCCAUUUGUUUGUGGUGCAUUUAAUCAAUGAAUAUUGGUACUUGUAUUGCAACUUUAUCUUCUAACUAUAACUAUGUGAAGCUCAAGCAUUUUUGCACCAAAUACAUUUGUCAGUGAUGGGAGGAGGUUGCCAUAAAUACAUUAAUUACUAACUGAUAGACUGCUACAAAGAGAAGGUGGUUAUAUCUAAAACAAGCCUAAAAAUAUAGAUGUCUCCAAAAAGCAUCUCUAGAAUUUGCUGCCUUCAGUGAUACCAAGAUGAUAUUUCCAAACUUGUCUCACUGGCUGCAUGACCUUUAAAGAGUGAAAGAAGCAGUGUGCUCUGGCUUUGCUGCAGUUGUAUUGUCAUCUCAACAGAAUUCCAUGUCAUCACAACAUAAAACAGGUAAGAAACUUGAAUACCUGCAAAAUAUUAAAAUCAGCAGCUGUUCAGUUCUAGAAUAAGUGUAGUUGAAAGAUUUUUUUACCCAGUAGCUGAAUAAAGUCUUGGAAAAUUUAAAAAUAUGAAAAAGUCCAAUUACUUGAGCAAUCAGAAUAUCUGAAAAAUACUUUCUGAAGCUUUUAAGUUAGAGGAAGAGAGUGAGGAAUAAUUUGUUUGUCUAAUAAUUUAAAGGUAGGCAGGUACCAGAGAAGGUUCUAGGCAAAUAAAUCACAAAUGCGAAAUAUUGACUUCCCACAUAUUUUUCAGUUUAAUUCUUUAUCAAAAGUGCUUGGCAUGAAUUCAUAUCAAAAUAAAUUUCCCUUUUUUACUGUCAUUAGAUCACUCAGCACAUUAGGAAUGCAAAAAUUCAGCAUUUGGACAAAUGUGUGUUAGAGCAGGUAAUUAAUUUAGUAAGUACAUACACAGAUCUUGUUUACAAGAAAAAUGGCUGACAGUGUAAAAUUAUAUAUGAUUGCAAAGCAACCUGUUUUAAUGGCUUUAAUGCAAUAAUAACCAGCUUCUCCAAAUGAAAAUAGCAAAUGGAUGAAGGGCCAAAAAAAAAGCUUGAGUAUAUAAAUCAGUGAAUAUCCAACCACUUAACUGAUGAUUGAAGUGACUGUGGAUUCAAAAUUAGAAUUCUUGGGUACUACAAUUUCCAAUCCAUGGAAAACUUUUGCCUAUAAGAAAGGGCUUUUUUUUUCCUCAUACAGAACUUGAAAAGGGAAUAUUCCCCACAGCAGUGCUUUUAAAACUCUAGCUGUUGAAAUGUAAAGAUAGGAUACAGACAGACACACAGCCCUGAAAAUGUGCAGGUACAUUUUGCCUGACUCUCAGCUGCCCAGUUACUUUUCAAGAGAGAAAAAAAUAUGUAUUUAAGUGACAACAAAACACAAAGGAGAAGAAAAUCCUUCUGCUUUGGAACCUGAAACAACAAAAAAUCCUUAUGUCAUAGAUCAGCAUGCAUUUAUUGCCUGAGUGUGCAGACCAGCUUUCCAGUCAUAGGACUAACUGAAAGUAUGAGAAAGGAAGAGAGCAGAAAUUAAUAUCUUGAUUUUCCUUUUUUUCCAAUCAACAAGAUAUUGCCUCCUUACAAUAUAUCCCAUCCACCACACAGCUUACAGAACAAGUACUGAUGAUUAGAGUGUUUCAUAAGACAGUCUGAACAUGGGGUUUUGGGAAAAACCAUAAAAGUUGCCAUUUCCAACUGGGAGACAGCUCAUUAGAAGGCAUGAAAUCAGCUCAAAUUAUGCCAAGAGGGAGAAAGAAGAAGGCAAAAAGAUCCCAAGGUAGGCUGUUAUAAGUAUGGAUUAUUUGCCUUGCUUUAAAUUUGACAUAUUUAACAAAAGGAAUGUUUUCUGUUACUCCUUGGAGACUUUAAAAAUAAAUCUACUGUGCUUUCUGUAA